GAGUAGCAAUAUUUCGGAAGUUGAGUGGCGAACGGGUGCGUAACACGUGGGAAUCUUCCCGGAAGUGGGGAAUAGCUUGCCGAAAGGCAAAUUAAUACCGCAUGUGGCCGCAAGGCUAAAGCGGGGGACCGCAAGGCCUCGCGCUUCCGGAUGAGCCCGCGUCCUAUCAGCUAGUUGGUGAGGUAACGGCUCACCAAGGCGAUGACGGGUAGCUGGUCUGAGAGGACGACCAGCCACACUGGGACUGAGACACGGCCCAGACACCUACGGGUGGCAGCAGUCGAGAAUCUUUCACAAUGGGGGCAACCCUGAUGGAGCGACGCCGCGUGGAGGAUGAAGGCCUUCGGGUCGUAAACUCCUGUCACCACAGAACAAGGGUUGCCGGUUAAUAGCCGUGCAACCUUGAUGGUAUGUGGAGAGGAAGGGACGGCUAACUCUGUGCCAGCAGCCGCGGUAAUACAGAGGUCCCAAGCGUUGUUCGGAUUUACUGGGCGUAAAGGGUGCGUAGGGGGCUUGGCAAGUCAGAUGUGAAAUCUCACCGCCUAACGGUGAAACUGCAUUUGAUACUGCCGAGCUAGAGGAUCGGAGAGGAGAACGGAAUUCCUGGUGUAGCGGUGAAAUGCGUAGAUAUCAGGAGGAACAUCAAUUGCGAAGGCAGUUCUCUGGACGGUUCCUGACCCUGAGGCACGAAGGCCAGGGGAGCAAACGGGAUUAGAUACCCCGGUAGUCCUGGCAGUAAACGUUGCUCAUUAGGUGUAGGCGGAUUCGACCCCGUCUGUGCCGGACCUAACGGAUUAAAUGAGCCGCCUGGGGAGUACGGUCGCAAGAUUAAAACUCAAAGAAAUUGACGGGGGCCCGCACAAGCGGUGGAGUAUGUGGCUUAAUUCGAUGCAACGCGAAGAACCUUACCU
Molecule: ribosomal RNA, 911 nt
Filed under: uncultured bacterium
Lineage: Bacteria
Description: bacterial SSU rRNA
Rfam family: Bacterial small subunit ribosomal RNA
Source: RNAcentral